UCUGAACGAUCUUGCAAAUCAUCAUGGGGCUUGUAGUGUGGGCUACAGUGCGUGUUACAAUGGGUAUCACAACUUUAUUUUUGUCUUUUAAAAAUUACCUUAGAUUUAAGUACGGAUUGGGUGCGUUUACCAAGUAAUUGAGUAAUGCAAAGCUGAAAUUGCUCCCAUGAAGAAGUAAUCGCGAGUAAUCGUAGAUCAUUAGUGCUACGGUGAAGGUAAGCCUUAUCGUGUACACAUUGCCCGUCACCUUAGGCAAUAGUAUUGUACAGGAAGAAACUCAGCAACACCCUCGGGUCGCAGUUAAGGGACUAAUGCGUGAUACUAGAGUUUAAGUAAGUCGUAACAAGGUUGCGGUAGUGGAAGCUGCUGCAGUGUUAAAUAAAUAAUAU
RNAcentral lists this ribosomal RNA (389 nucleotides) under Gonium pectorale. Its description in RNAcentral is "small subunit ribosomal RNA fragment S4". It matches the Rfam family "Bacterial small subunit ribosomal RNA", at positions 1174 to 1533 of the family's 1533-position model. The record is from RNAcentral. Lineage: Eukaryota; Viridiplantae; Chlorophyta; Chlorophyceae; Chlamydomonadales; Volvocaceae.